RNAcentral lists this long non-coding RNA (414 nucleotides) under Phascolarctos cinereus (koala). RNAcentral's name for it is "lncRNA (ENSPCIG00000036307.1)". Lineage: Eukaryota; Metazoa; Chordata; Mammalia; Diprotodontia; Phascolarctidae. The record is from RNAcentral.
AAAAAAUUACUUAUCUUACAUAUUAAUAUCAACAAUUAUCUUUAUAUUAUUCUAGUUAGUUGCCUUUCAGUAUAGGAAACAUAAGAAAUUAAUUUUUCUGUUUUAUUAUUUCAGAUUCUUUUGGAGAGGCCAAGAAUCUUCCUUUGACUCCAGAUCAGAAAUUUUCUGAAGGAGGUGUUAUAAAUACUCCUGAAAGAUUCUGAAAGAACUGAGAAUAAGCAAUCAGAUGAAAAAGAAGAAAAUCCCGUAGUAGAAUUACAUGGGGAAAAUUCAGGAGGGGCGGAGCCAAGAUGGCAGAGUGAAAGCAGUGACUUGCUUCAGCUCUCCCCCAAACCCCUCCAAAUACUCAUAAAAAAUGUCUCUAAACAAAUUCUGAAGCAGCAGAACCCACAAAAAGACAGAGUGAAACAAAUU